ACUGUCUGUACUCAUAUUUUUUCUCCUAAUUGAUGCUUAUAAUAAUUUUGCAAGUUGGAAAAGUGCAGUUUUAAUUUCAUUUGCACCAAGUUUAAUAGAUUAAUUAGAGAAAUUGUUCCCUUUAAAAUUCAUUCUUCCUAUCCAACUACAAGUUUUAACUGUGGUGUUGUUACCUGUUGUAAGAAGUGAGAUCUUUUAGAUGCUUCACUGCCAGAAAUUUCCAUGUUCAUCUAAAUUAUUGUUCUUGGUUAACGUUUCUAUGGACUCCAUUCUUCAAAAGCGCUGCAUCUUUCACUAGCAAAGACUAAAGAGAACUUGUGUGAAGUCUCUCCAUCUGUACUCUCCCAGGUGGUAACAAUGUGGACAAGAGGAUCACACACACCUGCGGUGGUCCCAUCUACAGCAUCACACAAAUGGUGUGGUUAUUCCUCCCUUCUAGGAUCUUAUUGCAUUUUUGUAUCUUAAAGGGCAUCACUUUUAUGUGAGUAACGCCAGGAAGAGAAGUGUCCUGCUUUUUUGCAAAUAAUUGCCUUGAAUGCUGUUGAGACUUUAACUGGACUGCUCUGGAACUCUCUGAUUGUCAGUUAUUCAGGUGACUUUGGUGGCAUGUCUCUGUGGCCUUGGUAUAUUUUGUGCCCUUCUCUGGUGUUGCAUUUACCUCACUGUACUUUAUUUGUUUUUACAAAUGGAAAUGAGAGUUGUGUAUAGUAAAUGAAAUUAAUUUAACCCAAUGAAUACCUUGCUCAUGCCCCAGAUGACAGCCAGGGUUUCUCACAAGUCGUGUGCCUUUCGUAUGUCAGUUUUGGUACCAUUUGCAAAAUACAUUGCUUCUUAUUUGAGUUAUGAGCCCACAUUUUGCAGAGAGGUACCAAAUAAGAUCCUCUUAAACAUAUGUAUUAUUGAAUUUAGAAGUUUCACUCUCAUGCAGUAGCUGGGGAAAGCUGUAGUUCACCUAUUUCCCAAUGCCCAAACGUAAGACUUGGAUUCCCCAUCACAAUUGUGGUUGUGUCAAAAGAGAGGAAUAGCUCUGUGUGACAUUUUGAGUCAUGGUGACACCAUCAUGUACAGCACGUGCUCCGAUCAUUUUCUUCGUAUCACUGGGAUUUUUCUGGAAUAAAAGCUGAAGGCAUGAAGGAUAUUCCUCUUCUACAUUACCCUGGUUUUUGUUUUUUUUUCCUGCUUAACCUAAGUAGGGUAAAAAUAGAGAACUGUUUUUACUUGAGUUUUAAUUGUCUAUUUCUGGAUGAUACACUGCACUGUUACUCAUGGAAGUAAUAACUACUUUGCUCAGCCUAUUUCAUCUGCUGGGUUUGUGCAGGGAGCAUCACAUCUAUACCUGUAUAGUACAGUGACAGCAAUAAAAACAACUGUCAAGAAUUUCAAGACCUUAUUAUCUUUUCCCUUUAAAGUCAGUCACUUUUACUAACAGAAGAUUUAGUGUUUUAAAAAUUACAUAAAUGUGUACAUACAUGAUGUCUCCUUUCUCAUCUUUUUCUGCUCAUGCCAGCUGGGUGCUGAGGUAGAACUUAGUUCCUCUUGAAAUAACCACUUAUUUUACUCCCAGAGAAGAUUGUUUUGUACUUUCAUAGUUAAUCUAAUCUAUCUCAGAAUAUUUUGUUGUGCUGAUCAUUUCCUAAGUUCAAAAUGAUCUUUAGGACAUAAAAAUACCAAUGUCCCAAUUCUAAACAUUUAAGUUACAUAUGACACAAGUUAGUACCCAGACAAUAUAGUUUUUUAUAGUCUAUGCCAGGAGUUAGCAAACUUGUCUGUAAAGGGCCUCACUUUACAGAUCAUGCUGUUAAAGCUACUCAUCUGUGUCAUUGUAUUUCUGAGAGCAGCCAUAGCCGGAUGCAUGAAGUAAUGAGUAUGUCUGUAUUCUAGGAAAACUUUGUUUACAAAAAAAAAAAAAAUGUGGUUGGCUGGAGUUAGACUGUAUGUGGUAGUUUGUCAACUCCUGGCCUAAAGCAUAGGUCUUUUGAUAUUCUGAGGAAGGUGGCUAGAUGUAGGAAACCAAAAGAGAGAAUGUCUUUUCUUCCCAUGCCCUUUUUGAGUCAUAAGUGUACAAAAUAUGAAGAUAAGUAAUAAAUGGGAAAAAUCUGCACUUAAGCCUUUGAAUUCUUGGCUCUGAAAGCUAGGUUGAGUGUCUCUUUGUAAACGUUUUUUUGUUUUUACUUUUAAUUUCCUUGUCAUUUAUGCUGGACCUAGUACACUGAAGUAAGGCCACGAAGAAUGGGUCAUUAAACAAUAUAAAGCUAAGUGGUCAUUCCUCUGCCAUCUUCCAUCCCUACUUGCUAGUAGUGACAAGAGUUGACCACUUUUGUUGUUGUGGCCAAUAACUUUCCUAAGUUGAUAUAA
Molecule: long non-coding RNA, 2355 nt
Organism: Choloepus didactylus (southern two-toed sloth)
Lineage: Eukaryota; Metazoa; Chordata; Mammalia; Pilosa; Megalonychidae
Exons: 4
Source: RefSeq, a predicted model, not a curated record